CCUACGGGUGGCAGCAGUGAGGAAUAUUGGUCAAUGGGCGAGAGCCUGAACCAGCCAAGUCGCGUGAAGGAUGACGGCCCUACGGGUUGUAAACUUCUUUUGUCAGGGAGCAAUUGGGUCGACGCGUGGGCGUAGCGAGAGUACCUGAAGAAAAAGCAUCGGUUAACCCCGGGCCAGCAGCCGCGGUAAGACGGGGGAUGCGAGCGUUACCCGGAUUUAUUGGGUUUAAAGGGUGCGUAGGCGGAAUUUCAAGUCAGCGGUAAAAAUUCGGGGCUCAACCCCGCCGUGCCGUUGAAACUGGUGGUCUUGAGUGGGCGAGAAGUAUGCGGAAUGCGUGGUGUAGCGGUGAAAUGCAUAGAUAUCACGCAGAACUCCGAUUGCGAAGGCAGCAUACCGGCGCCCAACUAACGCUGAGGCACGAAAGCGUGGGUAUCGAACAGGAUUAGAUACCCUUGUAGUC
Molecule: ribosomal RNA, 460 nt
Filed under: uncultured bacterium
Lineage: Bacteria
Description: partial 16S ribosomal RNA
Rfam family: Bacterial small subunit ribosomal RNA
Source: RNAcentral